GGAGGCUAUAUACAGGGGUACCGGUACAGAGUCAAUGUGGAGGCUAUAUACAGGGGUACCGGUACAGAGUCAAUGUGGAGGCUAUAUACAGGGGUACCGGUACAGAGUCAAUGUGGAGGCUAUAUACAGGGGGUACCGGUACAGAGUCAAUGUGGAGGCUAUAUACAGGGGAACCGGUACAGAGUCAAUGUGGAGGCUAUAUACAGGGGGACUGGUACAGAGUCAAUGUGGAGGCUAUAUACAGGGGGACUGGUACAGAGUCAAUGUGGAGGCUAUAUACAGGGGGGACUGGUACAGAGUCAAUGUGGAGGCUAUAUACAGGGGGUACCGGAACAGAGUCAAUGUGGAGGCUAUAUACAGAGGGUACCGGAACAGAGUCAAUGUGGAGGCUAUAUACAGGGGGUACCGGUACAGAGUCAAUGUGGAGGCUAUAUACAGGGGGUACCAGUACAGCGUCAAUGUGGAGGCUAUAUACAGGGGUACCAGUACAGAGUCAAUGUGGAGGCUAUAUACAGGGGUACCGGUACAGAGUCAAUGUGGAGGCUAUAUACAGGGGGUACCAGUACAGAGUCAAUGUGGAGGCUAUAUACAGGGGUACCAGUACAGAGUCAAUGUGGAGGCUAUAUACAGGGGUACCGGUACAGAGUCAAUGUGGAGGCUAUAUAGAGAGGGUACCGGAACAGAGUCAAUGUGGAGGCUAUAUACAGGGGUACCGGUACAGAGUCAAUGUGGAGGC
Molecule: long non-coding RNA, 736 nt
Organism: Oncorhynchus tshawytscha (Chinook salmon)
Lineage: Eukaryota; Metazoa; Chordata; Actinopteri; Salmoniformes; Salmonidae
Source: Ensembl